RNAcentral lists this ribosomal RNA (301 nucleotides) under uncultured bacterium. RNAcentral describes it as "partial 16S ribosomal RNA". It matches the Rfam family "Bacterial small subunit ribosomal RNA", at positions 509 to 809 of the family's 1533-position model. The record is from RNAcentral.
CAGCCGCCGCGGUAAUGCGUAGGUGGCAAGCGUUGUCCGGAAUUAUUGGGCGUAAAGGGCUCGCAGGCGGUUUCUUAAGUCUGAUGUGAAAGCCCCCGGCUCAACCGGGGAGGGUCAUUGGAAACUGGGAAACUUGAGUGCAGAAGAGGAGAGUGGAAUUCCACGUGUAGCGGUGAAAUGCGUAGAGAUGUGGAGGAACACCAGUGGCGAAGGCGACUCUCUGGUCUGUAACUGACGCUGAGGAGCGAAAGCGUGGGGAGCGAACAGGAUUAGAUACCCGCGUAGUCCCUGUCUCUUAUAA